This 240-nucleotide ribosomal RNA is filed under the name uncultured bacterium. RNAcentral's name for it is "partial 16S ribosomal RNA". It matches the Rfam family "Bacterial small subunit ribosomal RNA", at positions 15 to 244 of the family's 1533-position model. The record is from RNAcentral.
GAUCCUGGCUCAGGAUGAACGCUGGCGGCAUGCCUAAUACAUGCAAGUCGAACGAAGUCUUUAGGAAGCUUGCUUCCAAAGAGACUUAGUGGCGAACGGGUGAGUAACACGUAGGUAACCUGCCCAUGUGCCCGGGAUAACUGCUGGAAACGGUAGCUAAAACCGGAUAGGUAUGAGGGAGGCAUCUUCCUCAUAUUAAAGCACCUCGGUGUGAACAUGGAUGGACCUGCGGCGCAUUAG